AGCAGCCGCGCCAGCCUCAUGCCGAGUCCCGCUAGAGAAGCCACAGCCAGUACGCCAGGUUUCCCCGCGCCUCUGCCGAGUGGGUUGAAGGCAAAUACUUGAAGUUGCAAUCGAAGGUCAAGAAAAUGGAAUCAAGAGGUCACAAUCCUUCUCUGAUGAUGGCUUAGAAAGCUGGAAGACACUCAACAUUGAAUCCUGGGGCUCUGUGCCAUGCUUGCUAGGAGAAACAGCCACCAUGAGUCCAUCUUUCAGAUCUCAAGUGAACAGUCAUUCUCCAGCUGGGAUUGAGAACAAGGGGAAGCUGGCCAUAGAGCCAGGUGACCAAAGAUGGAAGACAAAGGGUGGGCUGUGAUUCCCAGAGCUCCAAGCCUUGUUCUGUCUUGUCACACCAACUGUUACUGAUGAACAGCAUGUGAGAACUUUUGGCUGAUGAAUACAAGAUACGCUCAUUCAUUCUCUUCAUUGCUAUGAAAUGAGUUUUUCCACAACCUCCUGCAGAACCUCAACACAUCACUAGGUGGCAACAUCCCUACACCAUAUCGGUUUAGAAACCACGGUUAGGAGGAGCAGCAAAACACGCGGCAUCCCAGUAUGAUUCAGAAGUAAAGUAAGUAAAUAUUUUCAGGGCAAAUAAAAAACAGUCAAGUCUGAUGCAAUUAAAAGAAGUCCUCUCUACAAGAAUAAAUGUUUGUCCCCACUCUCCUCCCUCAUGGAAACAGUACAGGCAAGCUGCCGGAGUGAACGCUGAGUGAGGGAAAGGA
Molecule: long non-coding RNA, 761 nt
Filed under: Homo sapiens (human)
Lineage: Eukaryota; Metazoa; Chordata; Mammalia; Primates; Hominidae
Description: HSALNT0307190
Source: RNAcentral